GAUCUCCUCCUGCCCCAAUCACACAUAUCCUCUCUGCUCCCUGCUUUCCACUCAGCCCCCCAAGUCCCUGCGUGCUGUUCACCCCUUCCCAAGGACACUGCUGUGCCUCCCUCCAGCAAGGUCCCAUCUUUCCCACCUUACUCUUCCCCCAGAUAGUGCACCCAGCCUUCCAGUACAGCAUACAGCUUUCUCUGCUGCACAUUGGACUAGACAGUAACUAAAGCCUUCCAGCCUUAAAGCCUGUGGCUGAAUACAGUGGUAUCCAUAGAGAGAAGAAAAUGAACCCUGGAAUUUCAGAGCAUUUCCCUGCGCUGGUCUUACAGGGCUGAUCUACUACCCUUAACAAAUAACUAGAGAAGUAAAAGAAUGUUAUGUUCUUCAGCCUGGCCCAAGCACAUGUGGAAUGUCACCAGUCUGAAGUUGGAAGUGACUGGACUACAUUGCAAGACCUUUGGAGAAUUUGAUAUUGACAUAUAUUUUAUGAUAGCAUCAAGAUUCCCAAUCACAUGUGCUCACUGCAAAAGCCUUUUUCGUUCACAUAA
This is a long non-coding RNA of Pezoporus occidentalis (night parrot), 542 nucleotides long. RefSeq lists it as uncharacterized. The transcript is spliced from 3 exons. The record is from RefSeq and is a predicted model, not a curated record. NCBI's taxonomy places the organism in Eukaryota, Metazoa, Chordata, Aves, Psittaciformes, Psittacidae.